GCCUGGGUGGCUUAGUGGUUGAGCGCCUGCCUUUGGCUCAGGUCGUGAUCCCGCGGUCCUGGGAUCGAGUCCCACGUCGGGCU
Canis lupus familiaris (dog) is the source of this 83-nucleotide non-coding RNA. NCBI's taxonomy places the organism in Eukaryota, Metazoa, Chordata, Mammalia, Carnivora, Canidae. The record is from Rfam.